RNAcentral lists this ribosomal RNA (386 nucleotides) under uncultured Bicosoecida. RNAcentral's name for it is "partial small subunit ribosomal RNA". It matches the Rfam family "Eukaryotic small subunit ribosomal RNA", at positions 30 to 432 of the family's 1831-position model. Lineage: Eukaryota; Bigyra; Bicosoecida. The record is from RNAcentral.
GCUUGUCUCAAAGAUUAAGCCAUGCAUGUCUAAGUAUAAGCAUAAUACAGUGAAACUGCGAAUGGCUCAUUAUAUCAGUUAUAGUUUAUUUGAUAGUCCCUGCUAUUUGGAUAACCGUAGUAAUUCUAGAGCUAAUACAUGCACAAAGCAGCCUUCACGGGUUGUGUAUUUAUUAGAUACAAUCAGCCCCCUUGGGGUCAUGAUGAAUCAUAAUAACUGAACUAAGCGCAUGCUUUGGCGGCGCUGUUUCAUUCAAGUUUCUGCCCUAUCAGCUUUCGAUGGUAGGGUAUUGGCCUACCAUGGUGGUAACGGGUGACGGAGGAUUAGGGUUCGAUUCCGGAGAGGGAGCCUGAGAAACGGCUACCACAUCCAAGGAAGGCAGCAGG